This 768-nucleotide ribosomal RNA is filed under the name uncultured bacterium. RNAcentral's name for it is "bacterial SSU rRNA". It matches the Rfam family "Bacterial small subunit ribosomal RNA", at positions 8 to 796 of the family's 1533-position model. The record is from RNAcentral.
AGAGUUUGAUCCUGGCUCAGGACGAACGCUGGCGGCGUGCUUAACACAUGCAAGUCGAACGAUGAAGCCCUUCGGGGUGGAUUAGUGGCGAACGGGUGAGUAACACGUGGGCAACCUGCCCUCCACUCUGGGAUAACUCCGGGAAACCGGGGCUAAUACUGGAUAUGACCUCCUGCCGCAUGGUGGGUGGUGGAAAGUUUUUCGGUGGAGGAUGGGCCCGCGGCCUAUCAGCUUGUUGGUGGGGUGAUGGCCUACCAAGGCGGUGACGGUAGCCGGCCUGAGAGGCGACCGGCCACACUGGGACUGAGACACGGCCCAGACUCCUGCGGGAGGCAGCAGUGGGGAAUAUUGCACAAUGGGCGAAAGCCUGAUGCAGCGACGCCGCGUGAGGGAUGACGGCCUUCGGGUUGUAAACCUCUUUCAGCAGGGACCAAGGGUGACUGAGUGUACCUGCAGAAGAAGCACCGGCUAACUACGUGCCAGCAGCCGCGGUAAUACGUAGGGUGCGAGCGUUGUCCGGAUUUAUUGGGCGUAAAGGGCUCGUAGGCGGCCUGUCGCGUCGGGAGUGAAAGCCCACUGCUUAACGGUGGGUCUGCUUCCGGUACGGGCGGGCUAGAGUACGGCAGGGGAGACUGGAAUUCCUGGUGUAGCGGUGGAAUGCGCAGAUAUCAGGAGGAACACCGGUGGCGAAGGCGGGUCUCUGGGCCAUUACUGACGCUGAGGAGCGAAAGCGUGGGGAGCGAACAGGAUUAGAUACCCUAGUAGUCC